GUGCCAGCCGCCGCGGUAAUACGGAGGGUGCAAGCAUUAAUCGGAUUUAUUGGGCGUAAAGGGCGCGUAGGCUGGCAUGUAAGUCAGAUGUGAAAUUCCGGAGCUCAACUCCGGAACAGCAUUUGAAACUGUGUGUCUAGAGGGUAGGCGGAGAAAAUAGAAUUCCACAAGUAGCGGUGAAAUGCGUAGAUAUGUGGAAGAAUACCAGUGGCGAAGGCGAUUUUCUAGCUUAUACCUGACGCUGAGGCGCGAAAGCAAGGGGAUCAAACAGGAUUAGAUACCCUGGUAGUCCUUGCCGUAAACUAUGUAUACUUGGUGUAAUCGGACUCAACCCUGAUUGUGCCGUAGCUAACGCGAUAAGUAUACCGCCUGGGGAGUACAGUCGCAAGGCUGAA
RNAcentral lists this ribosomal RNA (395 nucleotides) under uncultured bacterium. RNAcentral describes it as "bacterial SSU rRNA". It matches the Rfam family "Bacterial small subunit ribosomal RNA", at positions 505 to 898 of the family's 1533-position model. The record is from RNAcentral.